AUAGAAGGAUAUAAAGCCAAUUGGUUGAGAUGAACUACAGUACAAUAUGUAGUUUGUACGGCGUUCUAGAAAAUGAUCUGCAAUGUCAGUCGCUUAUGGAAAUGCUCCGGUGCAUAUCGGCCGAGCGCGAAAUUCCGUUUACGAUGAGAGAGGUGGCCAUGAAGAUGGAGUUAGAAGGACCAUCUAGCAGUGCGUGCGUUCUCCUCUUUGUGUCGCCAGCGAAAAGAGAGAAAUUCUAUCUCAAACCUGGCAACUUAACGGGACCUUUUAAAACACUAGGCGGUCGAUGGCGAACGAAUUAAGAUUAAGGUGCACUAUAGAAGAUGACGAAAUAUGGGUCAUUCGAUCGGUGGGGAGUCUGUCCAUGUACACACAUUCAACCGAGAUCCGAUCCGUUCGAGAUAUCAGAGUCGACAAAAACGCCGAGCUGUUCCUUGAAAAGCUCGGAUAUCGCUACCUUUUCGAAUUCUACAAACAGGGCAUUCGAUUUCUGGUACAACUCCCGGCAAAACCGGGAUCGAAUCAGUCAAUGGUAGUGCACGUCUAUAUUUCUAAGCUGAAAAAAGUUCAACAAAGAGGCAGCAUAAAGCUAGAAGAUCUAGACCCCAAUACCUACUUUGUAGAACUCCAAUGCUCUCAUGAGACAGAAGGCACUGACCCAACAAGCACUAGUGACGCGCUUGCAUCAUUUGCCGCAACCUUCUAUCCAUUGGUCAAACUAAGAGCAUAUUCACGCUAGCCUCAACGAAGUACCUCAGCCAUUUAUAAUCUUCCAACACUUUGUUUGAUAAUACCCU
Long non-coding RNA from Schistocerca gregaria, 797 nucleotides. RefSeq lists it as uncharacterized. The transcript has 3 exons. The record is from RefSeq and is a predicted model, not a curated record. Lineage: Eukaryota; Metazoa; Arthropoda; Insecta; Orthoptera; Acrididae.